RNAcentral lists this small RNA (78 nucleotides) under Tenacibaculum todarodis. Its description in RNAcentral is "Tenacibaculum sp. LPB0136 Flavo-1 RNA". It matches the Rfam family "Flavo-1 RNA". Lineage: Bacteria; Pseudomonadati; Bacteroidota; Flavobacteriia; Flavobacteriales; Flavobacteriaceae. The record is from Rfam by way of RNAcentral.
CUCCGUCCGCGUUAGCGAUUGAAAUGGCAUCCUUUUUGCUUUUUCUGCAAAAAGAUAUAAUGGAAAGCGCGACCACGC